This 293-nucleotide unclassified non-coding RNA is filed under the name fungal sp. Its description in RNAcentral is "partial internal transcribed spacer region". The stretch from base 1 to 46 matches the Rfam family "Eukaryotic small subunit ribosomal RNA", at positions 1786 to 1831 of the family's 1831-position model. Lineage: Eukaryota; Fungi. The record is from RNAcentral.
AAGUCGUAACAAGGUUUCCGUAGGUGAACCUGCGGAAGGAUCAUUAAUGAAAUGAUAAUUUUUUGGGGUUUUCCCUGAAAAAUAAUUCACCUUUUGUGCAUUGUUAUUAGAUAUACUUUGGUUAGAGCUUUGAUUUCAUUUAUUGGAAUCAACUUCUUGCUAACUCUAUCCUGUUAAGGACAGUUGGCUAUGAAGCGGCCUACCAAGGUUUUUUUAUCAAACUAUUGUAUUUUGUCUGACCUAAACUAUUAUAAUUAAAAUCAUAACUUUCAACAACGGAUCUCUUGGCUCUC